Long non-coding RNA from Mya arenaria, 386 nucleotides. RefSeq lists it as uncharacterized. The record is from RefSeq and is a predicted model, not a curated record. The transcript is spliced from 4 exons. NCBI's taxonomy places the organism in Eukaryota, Metazoa, Mollusca, Bivalvia, Myida, Myidae.
ACAUUUUACCGGAAGUCAUGCGCGCGCAAGGGAUUAUGGGAAACAGUAAAGUCGCGAAUUCCUUGGAUGUGCAAGAAAAUCUUUUAUGUAUCAGAUUGUACAGUUCCUAGUAAUGAGAAAUGGCGCAGUUGGUGCAGUGCAGAAACUAGUUUACUCAGAAUGUUUGUUCCAACUGACGGAUGAUAUUGUCAGAUAAGAGCACAUUGGCAUGUUGCAGACGUUGACUUUCUGAAUUACAGAAAAUAGCUUCAGUCAGGAUACCAGAAAGCAUCAGGACUUCCAGGGCAUGGCUAUAGCUCCUCCUGAAAGAACAUCAGAAACACUUGAUUAUUUGUGUGAAAUACUUUGAAAUAAAAAACCUCUUUCUGCAUGAUUUAAUUCCUAAA